CAGAUGUUCCCAGGACGCGAGCUAAGUCUGCCCGGCCGGCGCGCGCCGCUUCCGCUUUGGUGGGAAGGACCUCCCUUCCCCCUUAUAGAAACACUUUCUCCAGGCCGGGCCGGGCUUGGUAAACCUCAGCCGUGCCUGGGUAGAGGACGCCGGGCUGGGCCGAGCGGGGGUGGAAUGAGGGCGUCUAGAACAGAGAAAACUAAGAUGGGGUCGUCCCCCCAGUAAUCUGGAAAACAGUUACAGCAACAGGCUCCUCUCAUCAGACGGCAGUGCUGGUCGUUUCCUCACUGGUUUGCGGGGAAGGCUGGGCAGAAAAAGGAUGCAACCUUGUUCUCAACCACUUGCUAUCUCGUGAUUCAGGGAUUGGAUGAGUCUCUAUGGUUUGUUUUGCCCUGAAGAGCAGAAGGCUUCUGUCCCAACUGGUGUUGCCAAAGCAACAUAUUAAUUCCAUGCCAUGAUCCUGGGUCAAGAUCUGCACAAUCUGAUUGGGCAUGUCACCUCGGAUGGCAAGGGAGUGGAAGUGGUCAAAAUCAUGGAGUCCCAGCUUUCGGAGACGCCUUGCAGCUGCCCGGUGAAGAAAAUGCACAAUGGAAACCACCCAGAUGUCCAGUGAUAGUGGCAUGGACAAAUAAAUGUGGUAUAAUCAUGAAGAUAGAAUACUAAAUAGCAGUUAAAAAAUGAAGGCACCCAGCUUGGUGCACAACAUGGAUGAUUCUCACAAAUACAUAAUGUUGAGAAAAAAAGCAAGCCAUAACAGAAAAUAUAUGAAAAGCAUCCAUUUACAUGAAGCUCAAAAAUGGGUGAAAUUAAAGUACAUCAUUCAGGGAAGAAAAACAGUACACUAUAAAGAAAAGCAAGGAAACAACAGAAGGCUAGUUGUUACCUCUGGGUAGAGAUAGAGGUUUAUGAACAGGAAAAGGCAUAUAGGGGAAGUUGUGGGGUGCUGAAAAUGUUUAUUAUUUAUUUAUUUAUUUAUUUUUGAGACAGGAUCUUACUCUGUUUCCCAGGCUGGAGUACAGUGGUGUGAUCACUGCAACCUUGACUUCCCAGGCUCCAGAGAUCCUCCUACUUCAGCCUUAUGAGUAGCUGGAACCACAGGUGCACACCACCAUGCCCAGCUAAUUUUUGUAUUUUUGGUAGGGAUGAGAUUUUGCCAUGUUGCCCAGGCUGAUCUCAAACUCCCGAGCUCAAGCAAUCCACCAGCGUCAGUCUCUGAAAAUGCUGGGAUUACAGCGUCAGCCACUGCACCCAGCAGUUUUUUGGGUUUUUUGUUGUUGUUUUAUUUGAGACAGGGUCUCACUUCGUCACCCAGGCUGGGGUAUGUGGCACAAUCAAGGCUCACUGCAGCCUCGACCUCCUGGGUUCAAGCGAUCCUCCUCCCUCAGCUCUCUAAGUAGCUGGGACUACAGAUGCCCACCACCACACCUGGCUAAUUUUUUUUAGAGAUGGGGUUUUGCCAUGUUGCCCAGGCUGGGAAAGGAGUUUUUAAAAUUGAAAAAAAAAAGCACCCAUAAAUUAUGGUACAUCUAUCCAAUGAAACAUUAGGAAGCUGCUAAAAAAAGAAUGUGGUGAUAUAAAUAAUCUCAGA
This 1588-nucleotide long non-coding RNA is filed under the name Homo sapiens (human). RNAcentral's name for it is "PREDICTED lncRNA (TCONS_00054194)". The record is from RNAcentral. Lineage: Eukaryota; Metazoa; Chordata; Mammalia; Primates; Hominidae.